Molecule: long non-coding RNA, 2679 nt
Filed under: Homo sapiens (human)
Lineage: Eukaryota; Metazoa; Chordata; Mammalia; Primates; Hominidae
Description: HSALNT0326899
Source: RNAcentral
CACAGACAUAACCUCUGCCUCCACUGAUAAUGUAAAUCAUCCCUUGUAUCAUUUGUCUUUCCUUCAGGCUGGAUACAAAAGGCAUAGAAAUGAACAAUUCAUGCCUAAACAUAGAAGAGCUUGAAAGCUAGUGUAUGUCAGAUGUUUAUUCUAGGUCAUCAUUAAGGGGUUGAGUGGAUUUGCUUAUAAACACAGGCUAUUCUGUCAGUGGGGAGUGGGAGAGAUAGAGUGUGUUUUGCAGUUGGAGGCAGCUCUUUUAAAGCCAUAUUGCAACUUUUCUGCCAUGCACAGUAAGUUAUACAGAUAAUUCUUUUUAUAGGUUAUGAAAUGUUGUUCCCUGAGCAGUGGAAAGUAUAAUAUGCUAUAGAAACAAUGCUUUUUCUCUCCACUUUGUGCAAAUGCCAUUUUUCAUUACCCACUGAGUGAGAGCUUGCUAGAGAUUGAAAUGAGAGCAGGGUUGCCCUCCCGCUAAUGGUCAGGCACUUCAUGACACACACUCAGCAACGACCUCCAUGGGAACCCGAGGAGGUCUCCCCAAGCAGCUUCCCCCAAAAUGAAGUCUGAAGUGCCAAGCCCUUGAAGGAUGUCACAUCUUUUCAUGUUACCCAUUUCCACCAGCCUCAUUCUCUGCCUAGGGUUUUGUGGGUUGUUGUUUUUCCCACCCAGUCCAACCAAAGCAGCUAAAGAGAAAGUACCAAGACAAACAGAAUGAGAGCCUUGGGGACCCCGUAAUGGGUACAGAGCAUGAGUGUGGUAAUCAUUCUUUUGAUUUGUGCUCAGAUAUGUUUUCUAUUUGCUUUUGCACAGAAUGCACAUUUUUCCCCCUGGAUUGCAAAUAAUCUGAACCAGGGUAAAACCAUUACAAAGUGGCCUUCAAACAUCAUGUCUGUAUUGGAACUGAAUGAUUGAUCAGACAUUUAAAUACGGAAACUGGGAAUUCAGGUAAAUGGCACUGAUAGGGUUUUGUUUUUGGUUUUUUGCUUUUUGGUUUUUUUUUUUUUUUUUUUUUUUUUAAAAAGCAUGCUCCAAGGUGUUUAAAUAAUCUUUGUUUGCUUGGGUUCUCUCUCUUUUUUGUUUUCUUUCUCUAUCUUCAUCUAUCUUUUUUAAAAAAGAAUUCUGCAUUUUUCCCUUUUAAUUAUGCUCUCAUUUCAGUGAUUUGGUUUUAUCCACAAAGCCAAAAAUAAAGAAAUGAUUUUUAUAUGAUUCCUAACAAUUAAAACAGGGAGAAAAGAUAGAAUUCUCAACACCUCCCAUGUCUGGUCAUCUCUGCUCUUUUUCUGGGGCCAUACUUCCCGGGACAAUCUUCAUCUUCUUACAUUGUCAUUGGUGUCUCCCGACCAGCCUCUUUUGAAGUUGAUCGCAAGCAAAGAAAAAGUACACAUAGAAUGACUUCUUCAGCUGACUGUCCUCCAUUCUCACCCAGAAGAGAGGGGAAGAGGAAAAGCCCGGUUGGGAAAUAAAGAUGAAUGUGCUCCCACGAUGCUGGGUGGGGCUGUUUUGUGCUGGAGCAGGCAGGCAAAGGAAUCCCACCAUGGGGCUCUUGAGUCCCAGGUUAAUGUCAAAUGCUGGGUUUUCUUUUAGUUACUCAAGGAUCAAAGGGAAAUUAUUCAAUAAAAAGGAACUUAAAGGGGACUUCUGUGCCCACAUAAACCUUAAUCAAAAACACUUGUUCAAAUGUAGCUUCCUUGACCUGCCUUUUCAUAUUGUCUUUUCAGCUCUUAUACAUACACAUUUGUGAUUAAAAUAAAGAUUUUCUCCAUCACCAUUCAACAUUUCCUUUUCCUCUCAGCUGACCAGAAUUUCACCAGGGUGACAUGACAGUUUGUUGCUAAGGAACUGAAGACUAUGUCAUAAGUGAGCAUUCUGAUGAAGAGGAGUGAACAGUUUGCAGCAGAUUGGAUAUUAAGUAUAAAUCAGCUCUCUGUGUAUGUCCUUGUGUGGUGGUAUAACUGACAACAGGUAGGGUUCCUGAUGGGAUUGGGUUCCACCAAUCAGAGCCACUUGCAUGAGACCUCAACUGAGAGCCAGAUGGAAACCACUGGACAGUAGUGACAUGGUUAAGUGGAGUCUGAGCCAUUCACUCGGAAAAACAAGCAAUCAUCAGAAUAAUGGGUAUGAAGACAAUGCAAUGACAAGGGAAGUGCUGCUGAGAUUGACUGACAAAUGACAACAGGAAAAGAAACUGAAUGCAAGAUGUGCCCCUCUUCCCCUACCAAGAAUAGAAGCUCCUAGGAGCUAGACUUUUGAUCUAUUUUGUUCAGGGUCCUAUCUCCAGCAAGUGGCAAUGGUGUUUGAAGAGGAGGGGCUCACUCUAAAUCUUGAAGAUGUUCAGCCUCGAAAAAGUAGAAGUCAUUGUGACCAAAGAUGAUGCCACCAUGCCUUUGAAAAAGAAAGGUGAUGAGCCUCAAAUGGAAAAAUACAUUCAAGAAAGGUCAAUGCUAGUGAGUAUGAAUGAACACAUAGCAAAAAUUUCAGGUAGAACAGCCAUGCCAAGGGCUGGUGGGACAGGUGAGGCCGAGUGAAUAAAAAGAAGUAGCCCCAGAGACACUCAAGGUGGUUCCAGCUGCUUUUGAAGGAGGUUUCUUUCUAAGAGGUGGCUGGGCUUGGUUUCAGCGUAUUCCAAUUUGGGACUCAUGAACUGCAACUAAUAAAGAUCAAAAAACUGAUACAGAAAUUGUU